This is a long non-coding RNA of Acipenser ruthenus (sterlet), 1680 nucleotides long. RefSeq lists it as uncharacterized. The transcript is spliced from 6 exons. The record is from RefSeq and is a predicted model, not a curated record. NCBI's taxonomy places the organism in Eukaryota, Metazoa, Chordata, Actinopteri, Acipenseriformes, Acipenseridae.
AGGUAAGAAAGGCUAAAGAAAAGGAUAUAGGAUAAGAAAAAAGCAGCGCAAAGCGGGAGAGCCCCGUCUACGUCAUCCCCCGAAUUACGCCUAAAGGCUAACAUUUAUUUUUUAGUUCAUUUGAGGCAGCCCUUUUAACAAGGGUCGCGGUGAGCAGGUGCCUAACCCGGCAUACACAGGGCGCAAGGCGAGACUACACCCUGGACGGGACGCCAGUUCAUUUGAGAACUUGUUUAUGAUACAAUAAGAAAAUGUAUUUUCAGGUGGAAUUUAUUGAGAAUAAAAGUAUGAACAUUGUCCCUGAGACGGGUUGAGGAUGGCAUGACAUGGUGGCCCAACUACACAAAAGAUGACAGGAUCAACCGAGCUAUUCAAAAAAAAGAAAUUCCUGGGGAUGGCUGGACUCGCCAUGAUGUAAGAAUUUUGUUAAAAACAGAUGACUUUUUGAAAGCUUGCCAGAGAUACAAAGAAUCACUUCACUGCACAACAUCAGACUUGCAGUCUGAUGCUGGAGAGGACAUGCAGUCAUUAAUAAAGCGUAAAAGAAAAAGAAUUACAAAAUAUCAUUCUUGGCAACAAUUGGAGGGAGUGACUGUAGAAACACAGUCUGGAAUAUAUUGAAUCAUGUUAUACACAAUGAUCUUGCGAAAAAAAUUAAUUGGAAGGGAGUAAAUGAAAAAAGACCAUUCAAGAACUUGAUUGUCAAAUCAGUUAUUUUACGUGCAGUAAGAAGAAAUCCCUUGGCAGCAAAGGCCACCGAUAAAGAAAUUGAAAAUUUUAUUAUAAGAUGGUUCAAUCUUUCAUCAGACAGAGGUGGAGGUCGGAAGGCUAGGGAAAUUAACAAAUUGCAGAGACAGGCUGCAUCCACAUCCCACUCUACAAAUACUGCUGAGGACAGUGAAUAAGUAAUAAGGUUUUUAUAAAUUUUCAGUUCUUUAGUGCUGCAUUUUCAAGGAACCCACUAAUUGCACUUCAAGAGAUUCUAAAUAGUUUCUCCCAAAAUUAAAAUCCUGUUGCAUGUAGUUGUUGUUGUCUCAUUGUGGGGUUCAAUUUUAAGUACAGUAACCAACUAUGCAAACACCCCAAAAAAACAAACAACAUUGAUCAUAAAGUUGGAAACUGUUUUUUAUAUAUAUAUAAAGUUCCCUUCCACCCCACCCCCGCUUCUUUCUUUCUAACUAAUGUUUGCCAUAUGUUUCUCAGUCCUGGUCGUUUCUGUGUCCUUGUCUGUUGAACUCACAAUAACUUAAAUGAACUAGUUUAACUAACAAUGUGUUUCAUUUCAAGAUUCUUAUACAAUUCUAUAACCUAGACCAAAUUAAAACUUUGGCCCACUCACUAAUUACAAAUUACAAACCUGGUACUGAUGGAUUCCUUUUUGUUUGUUAGGAGGUUAUUCCUUCUACCCCAGAGGGAACCCACUGCCAUUAAUACUGGGUUUGUAAUUUGGACAAUCUUGAAAUAAAGUUUGUUUUUAAUUAUUAACAUAAAAUUAAUAACAUUGAGUCAAAAAUGCUAAAAUACAGUUGUUUUUUUUCUCUUCAGGCAAAACAAUCUACCACUGACAGAAUGGAUGGAUUACAUUCUGUCAAAAAUGGGGCAGGGAUUAUGUUAUGGGAUUUAUAGUGUUUAUUUUGUUUAUGAUCUUGUAAUCUUGUAUGUCUAGUUGGGAUUGCUCGU